GACGAACGCUGGCGGCGUGCUUAACACAUGCAAGUCGAACGGUGAAGCGCCUUCCUUUUUGGUGGGUGUGGAUGAGUGGCGAACGGGUGAGUAACACGUGAGUAACCUGCCCCCUUCUUCUGGAUAACCGCAUGAAAGUGUGGCUAAUACGGGAUAUUCUGGGUCUGUCGCAUGAUGGGUCUGGGAAAGAUACUGUUUCGGUGGGGGAGGGGCUCGCGGCCUAUCAGCUUGUUGGUGGGGUGAUGGCCUACCAAGGCGGUGACGGGUAGCCGGCCUGGGAGGGUGGACGGUCACACUGGGAGUGAGGCACGGCCCAGACUCCUACGGGAGGCAGCAGUGGGGAAGAGUGCACAAUGGGCGAAAGCGUGAUGCAGCGACGCCGCGUGAGGGAUGGAGGCCUUCGGGGUGUGAACCUCUUUCGCCAGUGAAGCAGGCCUGCCUCGUUUGUGGGUGGGUUGACGGUAGCUGGAUAAGAAGCGCCGGCUAACUACGUG
This 494-nucleotide ribosomal RNA is filed under the name uncultured bacterium. Its description in RNAcentral is "partial 16S ribosomal RNA". It matches the Rfam family "Bacterial small subunit ribosomal RNA", at positions 28 to 507 of the family's 1533-position model. The record is from RNAcentral.